GGUCGCGUGGCCCAAUGGGUAAGAAUCACUAUCCAACUACUAGAGUUUAACUCAGUAACUAACAAUCAAUGUAGCAAGGCGUCUGACUACGAAUCAGGAGAUCGUGGGUUCGAGCCCCACCGUGACCU
This is a non-coding RNA of Ilyonectria robusta, 128 nucleotides long. The record is from the annotation of a RefSeq genome assembly. NCBI's taxonomy places the organism in Eukaryota, Fungi, Ascomycota, Sordariomycetes, Hypocreales, Nectriaceae.